Molecule: long non-coding RNA, 2005 nt
Filed under: Bos grunniens (domestic yak)
Lineage: Eukaryota; Metazoa; Chordata; Mammalia; Artiodactyla; Bovidae
Description: lncRNA (ENSBGRG00000012330.1)
Source: RNAcentral
CUAGUUUGUCAACAUGGCUAAUUGUCAGGGAAAUGCAAAUCAAAACCACAGUGAAAUAUCACCUCACACCUGUCAGAAAGGCUAUCAUCAGAAAGGCCACAAAUAGCAAGUGUUGGGUAGGGCGUGCAGAAAAGGGAACUCUCAUACAUCGUUAUUGGGAAUGUAAAUUGGUACAACCACCUGUCUUCUGAAGCCAGCCUCCUCAUUUUAGGCUUCUCAAGGCUGUGACCUCUGCAGAGUAAAGCCUUCUUCUCAUAAAAUACUUUAAGAAAUAUUUAUUUUAUUUUGAUGCAAAACAGAGACUGUGUGAACACUGAGAGUAUGUACAGUAAGAAAAUGAUUGACGUGACCCCUGUCAACAUGGAGAUUACAGCCCAGCCAGGGAGAGACAGAGGCAACUGAAAAUCUCAUAAAUGACUAACUACAAAUGUGGCUGCAGGCUGUUGUCCCUGGGAACCAGGCAGCACUGGCUGGAAUUGGGAAUUUGGAAUGCUGUUUCACGACAGUCACCUGAAGAAGGUGUUGAAGGACCAUCAACUACUGCCCUCAGACCAAGAGGCCCACCUUUGGCAGCUAGGAAAGUCACCAGGAAAAUGAAACCAAAUCAAACAAAAUGACCUUAGAUGCUGGUUUGCAUACAUGACCCAGGGAACACUAAUGGUUCAGAUGCAAAUGCCCUAAGUAUAGGAUGGUAUAAAGCAAAGAGAAAAUUCCCUUUCAAAAGUCACAAUUCAAAAGGCUGGUUCAAAUCUUUAAAUGACAAAUUGUAUUUCUAGUCAAUACAGAGUACAGUAUCUUAAUCUAUUUGGCUAAAAUCGGAAUGGUUUCAGCCCAGGCAAUGCACUGAAAAUAUUCUCACUUAAUUUCCACCACACUCUUAUGAAGUUGCUAUUUUUAUUCCCAUUUUACAGAUGAGGAAACUGAGGUUAAGUCACAAAGUGAUCUCUGGACUGAAAACCCAGCUGGCAAGUUUAUCCUCGCAUAACUAUUCACAGUUCAUAUACCAUGGCAACUGUAUUGUUGGAGGACUGAUGUUAUAUAACUAAACCAUGGUCCUGAGUUCGUGCACCUGAGCUAUGUAAAAUGAGGACACAUAACAGGGUAACUAGAGAAUGUCACGGUGGGUACGCAAUAGAAAUUCCCAACUUGUAGAGGCACAGAAGGUUACUUGGAGAAGCUGACACACAUGCUAAGACUUGAUAAAUAAAUAGAAACUAAUCUGACACAGGAGGGGUGUAGGGAAGAUUGUUCCGGGCAGAGAUUAAAGUAGGUAUAAAGCUCCAAAUGUAAGACAGUGCAUGGAGUGUAGGGUGGCAGUCAUGGUUGUUUCAGGCUGAUUGUGGGUGAUAAUCCCAAUACGUUAUUUUCAGGCUGCAGGCUGUUGUCCCUGGGAACCAGGCAGCACUGGCUGGAAUUGGGAAUUUGGAAUGCUGUUUCACGACAGUCACCUGAAGAAGGUGUUGAAGGACCAUCAACUACUGCCCUCAGACCAAGAGGCCCACCUUUGGCAGCUAGGAAAGUCACCAGGAAAAUGAAACCAAAUCAAACAAAAUGACCUUAGAUGCUGGUUUGCAUACAUGACCCAGGGAACACUAAUGGUUCAGAUGCAAAUGCCCUAAGUAUAGGAUGGUAUAAAGCAAAGAGAAAAUUCCUUUCAAAAGUCACAAUUCAAAAGGCUGGUUCAAAUCUUUAAAUGACAAAUUGUAUUUCUAGUCAAUACAGAGUACAGUAUCUUAAUCUAUUUGGCUAAAAUCGGAAUGGUUUCAGCCCAGGCAAUGCACUGAAAAUAUUCUCACUUAAUUUCCACCACACUCUUAUGAAGUUGCUAUUUUUAUUCCCAUUUUACAGAUGAGGAAACUGAGGUUAAGUCACCAUGGGAUCACAGAACUGGUCACAUGUAGGAUUUAUCCUAAAGCUUGUACCUUUACCUAAUAUACCAUCAGUAUGUUUUAUUUCAAUACAUGGAGAUAAACACAGAUGCCAAACUGAGUGAUUAUUUCGUAUA